RNAcentral lists this unclassified non-coding RNA (202 nucleotides) under uncultured Ascomycota. RNAcentral's name for it is "sequence contains ITS1". Lineage: Eukaryota; Fungi; Ascomycota. RNAcentral also lists the same sequence under 1 other name. The record is from RNAcentral.
AUAGAGAGGAACCGGUUUCCUUGGGGGGCCAGUCCCCCCGUCUCUUCACCCGUGUCUACCUCCCUUUGUUGCUUUGGCGGGUGGGGGGAUUUACCUCUAUUUGUCGGCAGCGGGUCUUCAGGAACGCUCCGGCGGAUGGCCCCCGUCAGAAGCCCAGUAAAUUCUGUUUGUCAGUGGUCCGAGUAGAAAACCAAAUCGUUUA